RNAcentral lists this ribosomal RNA (1604 nucleotides) under Pelomedusa subrufa. Its description in RNAcentral is "16S ribosomal RNA". It matches the Rfam family "Bacterial large subunit ribosomal RNA". Lineage: Eukaryota; Metazoa; Chordata; Testudines; Pelomedusidae. The record is from RNAcentral.
GCAAGACAUAAGCCCUACUACUAAUCUUCACCACCAUAACAACCUCUUUACACCAAACCAUUAAAACAUUAUAUAAACUUAGUAUAGGAGAUAGAAAAGAUUUUAUUAGGAGCCCUAAAGACAGUACCGCAAGGGAAAGCUGAAAAAUAUGAAAUACUCACCAAGCCAAAAAAAGCAAAGAUAAACCCUUGUACCUUUUGCAUCAUGAUUUAGCCAGCAUAACAGAGACAAAAAGAAUUAAAGCCCCUCCCCCCGAAACCAGAUGAGCUAUUUAAAGGCAACUUUAGCAAAAGUUACAAUCCGUCUCUGUGGCAAAAGAGUGGAGAGACCCUUAAAUAGAGGUGAAAAGCCAAACGAAUCUAGUGAUAGCUGGUUGCUCAAUAAAAGAAUAAUAGUUCUACCUUAAAUCGCCCACCCCACAUGCAGCACAUAUGCCCCUUGAGAAAUUUAAGAGCUACUCAACCGAGGAACAGCCCGAUUGAGAAGGGAAACAACCCACAAUGGAGAACCAACUAUGCAAAACUUAAAUAGUAGGCCUUAAAGCAGCCAUCACUUAAGAUAGCGUUAAAGCUCAUAUAUCCAAAAUAUCAAAACCUUUGCCCAUUCCCAAACACAAUUGAGCUAUUCUACUUACCUAGAAGAACCAAUGCUAAAAUUAGUAACAAGAAAACUCUUCUCAACGCACUAGCUUACGUUAGUUCAGAAGAACUACUGAUUAUUAACGAAAUUAUACCACAAAAACACUAAACAAAACAUAUAACAACUCAACCGUUAACCCAACACAGGAGUGCUGACCAGAAAGAUUGAAAUUUGUAAAAGGAAUUAGGCAACUUAAGAGCCCGACUGUUUACCAAAAACAUAGCCACUAGCUCCCACAAGUAUUAGAGGUAGUGCCUGCCCAGUGAUUUAUUAAACGGCCGCGGUAACAUGACCGCGCGAAGGUAGCAUAAUCACUUGUCUUUUAAAUAGAGACUAGAAUGAAUGGCUACACGAGGUUCUAUCUGUCUCUUACAAACAAUCAGUGAAAUUGAUCUCCUCGUGCAAAAGCGAGAAUAACCACAUAAGACGAGAAGACCCUGUGGAACUUCAAGUAUUAACCAACAUACUUCAAAGACCCGCCCGCCCUGUUAGGAAAGGAAAUAAACACAGUAUCCCAUGGUUAUCACUUUUGGUUGGGGCGACCUCGGAGAAAACAAAACCUCCGAAAAGAGUACAUUCUCAUACCUAGAAUUACACCUCAAAGUGCUUUAAAGCAAAACGAUCCAAUAUAUUUGAUCAACGAACAAAGCUACCCCAGGGAUAACAGCGCAAUCCCUUCUCAAAGUCCCUAUUAAUGAUGGGGGUUUACGACCUCGAUGUUGGAUCAGGACAUCCUAAUGGUGCAACAGCUAUUAAGGGUUCGUUUGUUCAACGAUUAAUAGUCCUACGUGAUCUGAGUUCAGACCGGAGCAAUCCAGGUCGGUUUCUAUCUAUGCAUGAAUAUUUUCCAGUACGAAAGGAACUAAAAUAUGCGACCCACAAGCCAAACACGUCGCACCCCUAAUUUCUGUAUUCAACUAAAUCAAUACACAAGGGAUCUAACACAUCAUACCUAAAGCAGGUAA